Molecule: unclassified non-coding RNA, 447 nt
Filed under: Hevea brasiliensis (rubber tree)
Lineage: Eukaryota; Viridiplantae; Streptophyta; Magnoliopsida; Malpighiales; Euphorbiaceae
Source: RNAcentral
CUAAAAUUGGAUUGCAGCACUGAAUCUUUAUAGAAAUAUUUACAAGAAUACAACAAUAACACACAUUUAUGCAAGCGUGAGAGAUGCCCUUUUGGCAUUGCUCUCCUCCCUGCAAACUCCUCAAGUUUGUUUCUUUGCCCGGAUGGAAUGACGUGGAACUUACACAAUGCUGGAGGCAAGUUUGGUUACCAAAAAAAUAAUUUCCCCUCAUCCUGCUGCUAUGGAAGUAGUACAAGUAGGAACAGCGGGAAAGCCCAGAAUUUUGACGAAAGAAUCCCUUCAGAAGAUGAAGAUGGCAAGGGUGAAGUUGACGUAAAUCUGUCAGGAGGCUGUGCAACAGAAUUACUCCUUGAUGGAGGAUGAACAUGAGCAUACACUACACCAGCAAGUACAUGCUCCAACUCCUACCCCACAUGAAAUCACUGCAUCAAGUCCAUUGCCCAAUGU